Molecule: long non-coding RNA, 719 nt
Organism: Passer domesticus (house sparrow)
Lineage: Eukaryota; Metazoa; Chordata; Aves; Passeriformes; Passeridae
Exons: 3
Source: RefSeq, a predicted model, not a curated record
UUCUGUCCCAUGGUUCCCCUGGGGUUCUGCAUGGAAUGUUGGGCUGUGCCUGUAGCAACUGCCCUUGUCUGCUGAUCCUGCGGCCGUUGGUGGAACACUGGUGGAGCAGCGCUGGAGCAGCAGCUGCAGCAUCUGCUCCUGGCUGUCCCUCAGCAGCCACCUUCUGCACUCGGCGCCACAGCUGGCAUCUGCAGCGACAUCCUCAUCUCCUCGUCUACUGCCAAGCAUCCCCACAGCACUUUGGCACUGUGCAAGGUGGAAAGGAGAGGCACAAUGAAAAGGAAAGCAAGAGCCCACACUGAGCCGUGAGUUUUGGCCUAGGGUUAAAGGACAGCAAACUUGAGGAACGGCGAGCAGGACAACUGCUCCUUCAGAGCCAGGGUGGGAUUGGUCCAAGGCUGUGGCUGCACGCCAGGUGUCUCUUGACCACUUGCCUUUCUUACGUCCUACUCCUUCUUCCUCUAGACACAUCAAUGUUGGCAGUGACUUUCAGGCUGAGCUCCCUGAGCUGCAGACCGGGCCGCCAAGUGAGGAUGAAGAGCCUGCAACCCUGGUCUGGAAGCCCUUGGAGGAAGACGACUCUGACCUGGAAAAACCAGACAGAGUCAGAGAACUGUUGGACAUGGCCAGCUCCCGUGGCCUUCCCGGGGCAGCAGCUCAGCUGGAGCUCGCCCUGCACUGCCUGCACCAGGCUCGUGGCAGCGUUCCGGUAGGAAGCG